This 744-nucleotide long non-coding RNA is filed under the name Rhinopithecus bieti (black snub-nosed monkey). RNAcentral describes it as "lncRNA (ENSRBIG00000046350.1)". The record is from RNAcentral. Lineage: Eukaryota; Metazoa; Chordata; Mammalia; Primates; Cercopithecidae.
CCCCUCUUCUUCCUCUUAGGUCUUGGUACACAUAACCCAACUUGUGGUAGCAUCCACAAGUCUUCACCUAAAGACUUUCUCUGGCCACCAGAGCCUGCUCUGCCCCUGGACAUGCCAGAGUGAAAGUGAUGGAGAAUGCCUGCUUCCCGGGAACAGCCCUCAGUGAUGGAUGGGAAUUGGUGUACAGCUGCCCCAGCCCUAUCACUUCUCAGUUGGGGUAAGUCUGAGGUGCGUGUUCCAUGCUGGCUCUUGGAGCUCCCCAGGAGGAUUAUUCUCCAGCUGCCCCCGUGGUAACUCACUGGACAACACACCCUUUAUGGUCUGCCUUUCCUCACUGCCCUGCCUUCACCCGCCAAAUCAACCACUUGUACUUGAAUCCCUGACUCAGCAUCUGCUUUGGGAAGAAACCAAGCACAGAGAAGCACACACAUCUAUCAGUGACAACCCUGGAACCCAUCAAUUGAGGCGACCACAGGAAGAAAGCAGAUCAGAUCCCUGAGCAAACUUGAAAGGGACUGCCCCAGUGAGCUACCUGACCUGCAAUGGACUUCGAGUAGCAGAAUAUUGGCAUGUAGCGCUACUCAAAACAUAGAAAGCAGAAAUAAAUCGUUUCCGCCUGGAGGACCUCCUCCAUCUCAACACCCAGUGGUUUUGACAGAAUUGAUAUAGAAAUAGAAACUUCAAGGUGGGAACUUUUUAUUUAAUGCAAAGUAAUAAAUGAUUUAAGAAACUACAUUUGUUGCA